UUGUGCCCUUGAGGCGUGGCUUCCGGAGCUAACGCGUUAAGUCGACCGCCUGGGGAGUACGGCCGCAAGGUUAAAACUCAAAUGAAUUGACGGGGGCCCGCACAAGCGGUGGAGCAUGUGGUUUAAUUCGAUGCAACGCGAAGAACCUUACCUACUCUUGACAUCCAGAGAACUUUGCAGAGAUGCCAACGUGCCUUCGGGAACUCUGAGACAGGUGCUGCAUGGCUGUCGUCAGCUCGUGUUGUGAAAUGUUGGGUUAAGUCCCGCAACGAGCGCAACCCUUAUCCUUUGUUGCCAGCGGUCCGGCCGGGAACUCAAAGGAGACUGCCAGUGAUAAACUGGAGGAAGGUGGGGAUGACGUCAAGUCAUCAUGGCCCUUACGAGUAGGGCUACACACGUGCUACAAUGGCAUAUACAAAGAGAAGCGACCUCGCGAGAGCAAGCGGACCUCAUAAAGUAUGUCGUAGUCCGGAUUGGAGUCUGCAACUCGACUCCAUGAAGUCGGAAUCGCUAGUAAUCGUGGAUCAGAAUGCCACGGUGAAUACGUUCCCGGGCCUUGUACACACCGCCCGUCACACCAUGGGGAGUGGGUUGCAAAAGAAGUAGGUAGCUUAACCUUCGGGAGGGCGCUUACCACUUUGUGAUUCAUGACUGGGGUGAAUCU
RNAcentral lists this ribosomal RNA (664 nucleotides) under Citrobacter freundii. RNAcentral describes it as "bacterial SSU rRNA". It matches the Rfam family "Bacterial small subunit ribosomal RNA", at positions 824 to 1487 of the family's 1533-position model. The record is from RNAcentral. Lineage: Bacteria; Pseudomonadati; Pseudomonadota; Gammaproteobacteria; Enterobacterales; Enterobacteriaceae.